UACGUAGGCAGCAAGCGUUGUUCGGAGUUACUGGGCGUAAAGGGUGUGUAGGCGGUUGGAUAAGUGUGGUGUGAAAUCUCCCGGCUCAACUGGGAGGGUGCGCCGAAUACUGAGAGGCUAGAGUGUGGGAGAGGAAAGUGGAAUUCCUGGUGUAGCGGUGAAAUGCGUAGAUAUCAGGAGGAACACCGGUGGUGUAAACGGCUUUCUGGACCAUAACUGACGCUGAUGCACGAAAGCGUGGGUAGCAAACAGG
Molecule: ribosomal RNA, 253 nt
Filed under: uncultured bacterium
Lineage: Bacteria
Description: partial 16S ribosomal RNA
Rfam family: Bacterial small subunit ribosomal RNA
Source: RNAcentral